CCCUGUCUCCUUAGUAAGAGACUUAAAUUUUACUUAAGUUUACUUAAACUCCUCACAUUUUCCACAGCAAGAAAACUACCCCUCUUACCAAGUGAGCUGCUCAUUUGCUGAAUGUUCUCUCUUUACUUUGGCUUCCCUUCUUUAGAAAUUUCUUGAUCUCUCUUGGUUUUAUCCCAUUCCCCAAUGUCCAUGACCAUCAUCUCCAACAGAUCCCAGAGCCAGAAGCCUUUCCAGUUCUUGAUUUCCACUUCCUAUCAUCAUUCUGGAAAGUGUACAGCCCUUUACUUGUUGAUUGAAAAUAUUUUCCCAUGCUUUUUGGCACAGAGUUGCUACAGGACCAUCUUCCUCUUUAGCCUGCUGGAGACCUUCAUUUGGACACACUCAGUUGUGUUGCAGACUGGGCAGCCACAGGUAUGUCACCUCAUGUCACCUGUCUAGUUCAGACAGCCAGCUGUGUCUUCAGCAACAGCCCCUGCUGUUUUCAUCUUGGAGGCAUGAAAAUAGCAGGGCUACCUCAAAUUACAUUCUAUUACUUUUCUUCUUUUCCAGAUUGAACUGAAGGAGCUAUAAAGGAGGGUUUUGCAUGACAUAACUUUAUUGGCUGAGUUUUGAUGCAAAUUUCCUUAGAUUUUUCUGGAUCCACAGGAAAACAAUAAAUCUCUUCAGGAAAUUAUUUAGGUGGCUACAUCCAUGUCAACAUAAGCCAAAACCCAUAGGAAAGGAAGAAGAUAAGUAAAAUAACUUGGAGAUGUUUCAAAGCAGAGGAAAAUGAGGAGAAUAUCAGUAUUCUCCAGAUGGAAUGACAGUGCAAACAAGUAUGAGCAAGGUUUCCUCUGUAGGACAUGUGCACAGGCAUGGACACACACUCUUUCAUGUGAAUCAGGGAUGACAAAACACAGAAGAGAUGACAACGUUUACUUCUUCACAGACCUGGGAAUCCUACUGUGCAAGAGACCUCAGCAAUCCUCCCAAGAGCCUUCCAAAGGCCACCAUGGAAUGUCUCUGCUGCACAGAAGGAGAAAGAUUUCACAAACAGAAGUUCGUGAAAGCUCUAAGAUUAUUUCACACAUGUGA
Molecule: long non-coding RNA, 1074 nt
Filed under: Cyanistes caeruleus (blue tit)
Lineage: Eukaryota; Metazoa; Chordata; Aves; Passeriformes; Paridae
Description: lncRNA (ENSCCEG00000008578.1)
Source: RNAcentral